GGGAGGGCUGUGGGGAUGUGUGUGUGUGUUGUGUGUCCCUGGGUGUGGAUGUGGGAGGGCUGUGGGCGUGUGUGUGUGUUGUGUGUCUGUGUGUGUGGAUGUGGAGGGCUGUGGGGAUGUGUGUGUGUGUUGUGUGUCCCUGUGUGUGGAUGUGGGAGGGCUGUGGGCGUGUCUGUGUGUUGUGUGUCCCUGUGCAUGGAUGUGGGAGGUUUGGGGCAUGCGCGUGCAUGUUGUGUGUGCCUGUGGUGUGUGUGGGUGCCUGGGCACAUGAACAAGCACCUGUGAGAGAACUGGCCCACCUGUGACCCUGUCGGCUGGUCCCCCAGGGGAGCUGUCUUCCCAGCUUCCGGAAAGACUCUCCUUGGUGAUCGGCUCCAUCCUGGGGGCUUUGGCCUUCCUCCUGCUGGCAGCCAUCACCGUGCUGGCGGUCGUCUUCCAGCGGUGAGUCCCCACCCCUGCCCAACUCUGCCCAGCACCAUUAACUCCACAGCCAAACCUCAAGUCCUGCCAAGUCUGGAGCCCCCUGCAGAAACCUCACACUGGUGCUCCUCCCGUCAGCCAGCCCCUGCCCUGGGCCCCACGUGGAGGUGGGCAGGAGGGCCAGGCUGGCGUCCCCCCUCCACAGACCGACUAAAGAGCAGUCUGGAGGGUGACAAGGGGGCAGCAAGGGGGUGGAAAUGGGAGCGUAAUCCCCAGCCACCGUUUUGUUCCUCAGGAAGCGGCGUGGGACUGGCUACACGGAGCAGCUGCAGCAAUACAGCAGCCCAGGUGGGGAUGAGGAGAGGAAAUGGGUGGGGCUGGGGAACACAUGGGUGGGGCACAUGGCAGGCAAGGCUGGAUCCCCCCAAGAUUGGGGGAGCUCCUUGGCACAACCUUCUGGAGGUAAGUGGGCAUGUCUGGGGUGCGCGGGCAGCCCUGCCUUUCACAACAUGCUCAUAACAUACUCCACACCCCUCCAGGACUCGGGGUGAAGUAUUACAUCGACCCCUCCACCUACGAGGACCCCUGUCAGGCCAUCCGAGAACUUGCCCGGGAAGUCGAUCCUGCUUAUAUCAAGAUUGAGGAGGUCAUUGGGACAGGCUCUUUUGGAGAAGUGCGCCGGGGCCGCCUGCAGCCACGGGGACGGAGGGAGCAGACUGUGGCCAUCCAGGCCCUGUGGGCCGGGGGCGCCGAAAGCCUGCAGAUGACCUUCCUGGGCCGGGCCGCAGUGCUGGGUCAGUUCCAGCACCCCAACAUCCUGCGGCUGGAGGGCGUGGUCACCAAGAGCCGACCCCUCAUGGUGCUGACGGAGUUCAUGGAGCUUGGCCCCCUGGACAGCUUCCUCAGGCAGCGGGAGGGCCAGUUCAGCAGCCUGCAGCUGGUGGCCAUGCAGCGGGGAGUGGCUGCUGCCAUGCAGUACCUGUCCAGCUUUGCCUUCGUCCAUCGCUCGCUGUCUGCCCACAGCGUGCUGGUGAAUAGCCACUUGGUGUGCAAGGUGGCCCGUCUUGGCCACAGUCCUCAGGGCCCAAGUUGUUUGCUUCGCUGGGCAGCCCCAGAGGUCAUUGCACAUGGAAAGCAUACAACAUCCAGUGAUGUCUGGAGCUUUGGGAUACUCAUGUGGGAAGUGAUGAGUUAUGGAGAACGGCCUUACUGGGACAUGAGUGAGCAGGAGGUACUAAAUGCAAUAGAGCAGGAGUUCCGGCUGCCCCCGCCUCCAGGCUGUCCUCCUGGAUUACAUCUACUUAUGUUGGACACUUGGCAGAAGGACCGUGCCCGGCGGCCUCAUUUUGACCAGCUGGUGGCUGCAUUUGACAAGAUGAUCCGCAAGCCAGAUACCCUGCAGGCUUGCGGGGACCCAGGGGAAAGGCCUUCGCAGGCCCUUCUGACCCCUGUGGCCCUGGACUUUCCUUGUCUGGACUCACCCCAGGCCUGGCUUUCAGCCAUUGGACUGGAGUGCUACCAGGACAACUUCUCCAAGUUUGGCCUCUGUACCUUCAGUGAUGUGGCUCAGCUCAGCCUAGAAGACCUGCCUGCCCUGGGCAUCACCCUGGCUGGCCACCAGAAGAAGCUGCUGCACCACAUCCAGCUCCUUCAGCAACACCUGAGGCAGCAGGGCUCAGUGGAGGUCUAAGAAUGACGAUACCCGUGACUCAGCCCUGGACACUGGUCCGAGAAGGGACAUGUGGGACGUGAGCCGGGCUCCAACAGCCUCUGUGAGAGAUGCCCCACACCAAACCCAACCCUCCCGAUGGCUGCACUCCCUGGUCCUCCGCCUCUCCACCAGCCCCCUCCUCAUUAAAGGGAAAGAAGGGAAUUUGCAA
RNAcentral lists this small RNA (2300 nucleotides) under Pan troglodytes (chimpanzee). RNAcentral describes it as "retained intron". Lineage: Eukaryota; Metazoa; Chordata; Mammalia; Primates; Hominidae. The record is from RNAcentral.